This 1053-nucleotide long non-coding RNA is filed under the name Panax ginseng (ginseng). RNAcentral describes it as "long non-coding RNA (PGIN_LNC005246)". The record is from RNAcentral. Lineage: Eukaryota; Viridiplantae; Streptophyta; Magnoliopsida; Apiales; Araliaceae.
AAAAGAAAAGGAGAAAAUAAUAGAAAGAGAAAGGGAUAGAUGAACGGGAGAAAGGGAGGUGAGAAAGGGAAGUGCCGAAGCCAAGGGAGAAAGGAGUGGGGCGGCAGCUCCCAUGGGAAAGAAGAAGAUGAAGGAAAAAGGAUCCACCAUAAAGAAGAAGAAGCAAAAAGGUAUAAUCCCUCAAUUUUUUUUUUAUAUAAUUGAUGAUGGGGGUUUUUGAUUUGGUAGUUAAAACUCUAAGAUCUAUGUGUUUUCCAUGAAUUUAUGUAUGAAUCCACCCAUGAUGGGUGUUGAUUUGUUGGAAACUAAAAGGAAAAGAAAAUAAAUUUUUCUAGUUUUGAAAAUCGAAAUUUCUAUAUACUUUAAAAUUUCACCGUUUUAAAUCUAUGACUUUUUUUUGUGAUCCGUCAAAAAGGGAUGUUAGACAUAUGUGUUUAGUAGUUAACCCAAGUGGUAGUACUCAAAAAUGUUGAGUUUACAUGGGGUAGUGACUGAUUUGGUGAAAACAGUUCCGUUUUUUUUAUAACCAAAAAUGGGCAGAUUCGGGGCAGUCAGUAGCGAGGGCAACUUCGUCCAGUUUUUGUGUUUUAAAAAUUCUGGGCUUUUGAUAUGUUGUAGUACACUGUUUUAGCUUUCCAUAGACUCUGGAACGGACUAAUUCCGACUCCGGAUGAGGUAGUUAUGGCGUUCAGAAGGUGCGUAGCAAAACUGUUCCUCAAGUCCCGAACAGCCUCCUUGAUGUAAAUUUUUGGACUGUUGUGUUCUGAUUUUGGAAAAAUGUCGUGAGACAAAAGUUGUAGCCCUGGAAGUUAUCUUCGCGUGGGCUCAAAAAUCGCUCAAAAAUGUUUUAAAACGCGAGAGUUAUGGCUGUUUUAGCGAGGCUGGGUAAAAUAUUUCGAAAAUCAAAUUGUCCAAAAAUAGGAAAAAUGUAAUUUAUGACGUGAGACCCUUGAGAAUGGCUUAUGCCAGUUUGUAAUGGAUGUUUGGGUCGAGUAUAAAGUGUUAUGAUGUUUAUAGCAUUUUAAAAUGUUUAAACAAGUUUAUUAAUUUCGG